GCAAGUCGAACGCGAAAGUCCCCUUCGGGGGAUAAGUAGAGUGGCGCACGGGUGAGUAACACGUAGGUAAUCUACCUUCGGGUGGGGAAUAACCCAGGGAAACUUGGGCUAAUACCGCAUAAUGCAGCGGCACCACAUGGUGACAGUUGUUAAAGCGGGGGAUCUUCGGAUCUCGCGCCUGAAGAGGAGCCUGCGGCAGAUUAGCUAGUUGGUAGGGUAACGGCUUACCAAGGCGACGAUCUGUAGCCGGCCUGAGAGGGCGGUCGGCCACACUGACACUGACAUACGGGUCAGACUCCUACGGGAGGCAGCAGUCGGGAAUUUUGGGCAAUGGGCGAAAGCCUGACCCAGCAACGCCGCGUGAAGGAUGAAAUCCCUCGGGAUGUAAACUUCGCAAGAAUAGGAAGAAUUAGUAGGGGCUAAUACCCUCUAUGAUGACGGUACUAUUUGUAAGCUCCGGCUAACUCCGUGCCAGCAGCCGCGGUAAUACGGGGGGAGCAAGCGUUGUUCGGAUUUACUGGGCGUAAAGGGCGCGUAGGCGGUCAGCACAAGUCAGUUGUGAAAUCUCCGGGCUUAACUCGGAAAGGUCAACUGAUACUGUGCGACUAGAGUGCAGAAGGGGCAACUGGAAUUCUCGGUGUAGCGGUGAAAUGCGUAGAUAUCGAGAGGAACACCUGCGGCGAAGGCGGGUUGCUGGGCUGACACUGACGCUGAUGCGCGAAAGCCAGGGGAGCGAACGGGAUUAGAUACCCCGGUAGUCCUGGCCUUAAACGAUGGAUGCUUGGUGUCUGGAGUUUUAUAGUCUCCGGGUGCCGUAGCUAACGCGUUAAGCAUCCCGCCUGGGGAGUACGGUCGCAAGACUGAAACUCAAAGGAAUUGACGGGGACCCGCACAAGCGGUGGAAGCAUGU
This 910-nucleotide ribosomal RNA is filed under the name uncultured Bacillota bacterium. RNAcentral's name for it is "bacterial SSU rRNA". It matches the Rfam family "Bacterial small subunit ribosomal RNA", at positions 57 to 942 of the family's 1533-position model. Lineage: Bacteria; Bacillati; Bacillota. The record is from RNAcentral.